UUUUGUAGUUUAUUUACUACAACUUAUGAGAAGUGAUGAAAGAAUUUAUACAUAGGCUACAAAUAAAUACCAUUUUAAUACACGGAUGACAAGUUUACUCUGAUUAUUUAUGAUUUUUAAUAGUAGAAACUCUCAAAUAUAGUGUUCUCCUAUAACGCAAUUAUCUAGAAGCUUCCAAAUGUAGCCACAGGUUAAAAGAAUCAGAAUAGUUUCACACCGCGCCAACCAAUUUUUGCCAUAUGAAUGGACAGUAAUACCCAUUGGUUUUGGCAACAUUUACGUACACCUGCAUUUCCAUCACCCAACAAUUGAAGGGUACCCCCUUUCCCCAAAACCCUAGUUCGGCCACCCCCUCCCGCCAACAGUUUGCAAGGACAUCUCCCUGACUACCAUCCCCGCUUCAAGAUCCAGCACCACCACAACCUUCC
RNAcentral lists this long non-coding RNA (428 nucleotides) under Setaria viridis. RNAcentral describes it as "long non-coding RNA (SVIR_LNC006263)". The record is from RNAcentral. Lineage: Eukaryota; Viridiplantae; Streptophyta; Magnoliopsida; Poales; Poaceae.